Cebus imitator (Panamanian white-faced capuchin) is the source of this 915-nucleotide long non-coding RNA. RefSeq lists it as uncharacterized. Lineage: Eukaryota; Metazoa; Chordata; Mammalia; Primates; Cebidae. The transcript has 2 exons. The record is from RefSeq and is a predicted model, not a curated record.
CGGAGCUGGGGCCGGAGGAGGCGGGCCAAGCGACUUCCCGGAGUGGCGGAACCGCUGAGGUCACCCUCGCCCCGCUCCCCUGUCUGCCCCACCCGGCCGGGCACCGCGCGCAGCCAGCGGGGGCGUUAGGGAUCCGGAUCCUGAAACGGGGACUUCCACCCUCUCCACAGACCCAGCCCAGCGUCCAUGGGGCACCCAGCGCAGAGAGGCACGGAAAGCGGGCACCUCCCAGCAGACAUGGUGGGAUGGGGGGCAAAUGCCAUAGCGGAGGGAGUGGGAAGCCCUCCGGAGCCCAGGGCAGGCAGGAACGAGUUCAAACAGGAGACUCGGGCCAGGGGCUGGCAUGGGAGUGGGGUAGGAAGGAGUGGGGGGGAGUGUUCCAGGACAAAGAAGCCUUAAAACCACGUGAGGGGGACAUCUGGUUCUGGGAGAGCAAAAUAGAGAAGUAGGAGUGUGUUUGGCGGGGUUAGGGUCCCUCCCCAGCAGGUGGAGCCUUUUCCCAGGGGCACAACCUAGGCCACCCUUGACUGAGCAGUUUUGAAGGUACCCUAGACCACCGGAUCAUCUUCACAACGGUCCCAUUAACGAGAUGCUCUUAUUGUUAUACCUUUUUGGUGAGAGAGGUUAGGUAAGGUACCCAGGGCCAUGUAUCAGGCAGCAAGUCCCUGAACCAGGAUUCGAAUUCAGCCAGUCUCUUUCUGCACUGCCUUGCAGCCCAGGCAAUGGAGGAGGCGGUGGAGGAGUCACCCCAGCAAGGCUGUGCAGUGGGGGGGUGGUGCUGGAAGAGGGGCGGGACGACAAAGGACAGGACCUGGCCAGGUAUGUGUGUGCAGGAGGAGUGGAGCCCACAGUAGGUUCUGAAGUCCGGGAAGGAAGGCCACAUUGUUAUACUAAAAUAUCAUUCCUUGUUUCACC